GAUGAAUGCUGGCAGCGUGCCUAAUACAUGCAAGUCGAGCGGAUGGAUUAAGAGCUUGCUCUUAUGAAGUUAGCGGCGGACGGGUGAGUAACACGUGGGUAACCUGCCCAUAAGACUGGGAUAACUCCGGGAAACCGGGGCUAAUACCGGAUAACAUUUUGAACCGCAUGGUUCGAAAUUGAAAGGCGGCUUCGGCUGUCACUUAUGGAUGGACCCGCGUCGCACUAGCUAGUUGGUGAGGUAACGGCUCACCAAGGCAACGAUGCGUAGCCGACCUGAGAGGGUGAUCGGGCACACUGGGACUGAGACACGGCCCAGACUCCUACGGGAGGCAGCAGUAGGGAAUCUUCCGCAAUGGACGAAAGUCUGACGGAGCAACGCCGCGUGAGUGAUGAAGGCUUUCGGGUCGUAAAACUCUGUUGUUAGGGAAGAACAAGUGCUAGUUGAAUAAGCUGGCACCUUGACGGUACCUAACCAGAAAGCCACGGCUAACUACGUGCCAGCAGCCGCAGUAA
This 515-nucleotide ribosomal RNA is filed under the name uncultured bacterium. RNAcentral describes it as "partial 16S ribosomal RNA". It matches the Rfam family "Bacterial small subunit ribosomal RNA", at positions 28 to 523 of the family's 1533-position model. The record is from RNAcentral.